CCCUUAGAUGUUCUGGGCCGCACGCGCGCUACACUGACUGGUGCAACAAGUGUCUGACCUUGGCUCGAGAGGCCUGGGCAACCUUUGAACGCCAGUCGUGCUGGGGAUAGAUUCUUGCAAUUAUUAAUCUUCAACGAGGAAUUCCUAGUAAACGCAAGUCAUCAGCUUGCAUUGAUUACGUCCCUGCCCUUUGUACACACCGCCCGUCGCACCUACCGAUUGAAUGGUCCGGUGAAUAAUUCGGACUGCAGCAGUGUUCAGUUCCUGAACGUUGCAGCGGAAAGUUUAGUGAACCUUAUCACUUAGAGGAAGGAGAAGUCGUAACA
Molecule: ribosomal RNA, 326 nt
Filed under: uncultured eukaryote
Lineage: Eukaryota
Description: partial 18S ribosomal RNA
Rfam family: Eukaryotic small subunit ribosomal RNA
Source: RNAcentral